GACGAACGCUGGCGGCGUGCCUAAUACAUGCAAGUCGAACGCUUCUUUCCUCCCGAGUGCUUGCACUCAAUUGGAAAGAGGAGUGGCGGACGGGUGAGUAACACGUGGGUAACCUACCCAUCAGAGGGGGAUAACACUUGGAAACAGGUGCUAAUACCGCAUAACAGUUUAUGCCGCAUGGCAUAAGAGUGAAAGGCGCUUUCGGGUGUCGCUGAUGGAUGGACCCGCGGUGCAUUAGCUAGUUGGUGAGGUAACGGCUCACCAAGGCCACGAUGCAUAGCCGACCUGAGAGGGUGAUCGGCCACACUGGGACUGAGACACGGCCCAGACUCCUACGGGAGGCAGCAGUAGGGAAUCUUCGGCAAUGGACGAAAGUCUGACCGAGCAACGCCGCGUGAGUGAAGAAGGUUUUCGGAUCGUAAAACUCUGUUGUUAGAGAAGAACAAGGACGUUAGUAAAUGAACGUCCCCUGACGGUAUCUAACCAGAAAGCCACGGCUAACUACGUG
RNAcentral lists this ribosomal RNA (508 nucleotides) under uncultured bacterium. Its description in RNAcentral is "partial 16S ribosomal RNA". It matches the Rfam family "Bacterial small subunit ribosomal RNA", at positions 28 to 507 of the family's 1533-position model. The record is from RNAcentral.